GAUGAACGCUGGCGGCGUGCUUAACACAUGCAAGUCGAGCGGGCAAUUUAUCUAGCACUGAUUACUUCAAAUGGAAAUCAUAAGUGUAAUCAUGAAUUUCUACCUUAUAAUAAAGAAAAAGAAAUUCAUGUACGCAAAUAGUGAUAACACAUUUUAGUGGAGUGAUGAGUGCUGGAUAAAUUGCUAGCGGCGGACGGGUGCGUAACACGUGGGUAACCUGCCCCUAUCACUGGGAUAACACACUGAAAAGUGUGCUAAUACCAGAUAACAUAAGCUUUUGGCAUCAUUAGCUUAUCAAAGAAUUUCGGAUAGGGAUGGCCCGCGUCUGAUUAGCUUGUU
RNAcentral lists this ribosomal RNA (339 nucleotides) under uncultured bacterium. RNAcentral's name for it is "bacterial SSU rRNA". It matches the Rfam family "Bacterial small subunit ribosomal RNA", at positions 28 to 250 of the family's 1533-position model. The record is from RNAcentral.